Molecule: ribosomal RNA, 460 nt
Filed under: uncultured bacterium
Lineage: Bacteria
Description: partial 16S ribosomal RNA
Rfam family: Bacterial small subunit ribosomal RNA
Source: RNAcentral
CCUACGGGAGGCAGCAGUGAGGAAUAUUGGUCAAUGGGCGCAAGCCUGAACCAGCCAAGUCGCGUGAGGGAUGACGGUCCUAUGGAUUGUAAACCUCUUUUGUCGGGGAGCAAGGCCCGCCACGUGUGGCGGGAAGGAGAGUACCCGAAGAAAAAGCAUCGGCUAACUCCGUGCCAGCAGCCGCGGUAAUACGGAGGAUGCGAGCGUUAUCCGGAUUUAUUGGGUUUAAAGGGUGCGUAGGCGGAAGGUUAAGUCAGCGGUCAAAUGUCGGUGCCCAACACCGGCCUGCCGUUGAAACUGGUCGUCUUGAGUGAGCGAGAAGUAUGCGGAAUGCGUGGUGUAGCGGUGAAAUGCAUAGAUAUCACGCAGAACUCCGAUUGCGAAGGCAGCAUACCGGCGCUCAACUGACGCUGAGGCACGAAAGCGUGGGGAUCGAACAGGAUUAGAUACCCCAGUAGUC